Molecule: unclassified non-coding RNA, 328 nt
Filed under: soil metagenome
Description: partial contains 5.8S ribosomal RNA, internal transcribed spacer 2, and large subunit ribosomal RNA
Rfam family: 5.8S ribosomal RNA (bases 1-120)
Source: RNAcentral
GAUGAAGAACGCAGCGAAAUGCGAUAAGUAAUGUGAAUUGCAGAAUUCAGUGAAUCAUCGAAUCUUUGAACGCACAUUGCGCCCUCUGGUAUUCCGGGGGGCAUGCCUGUUCGAGCGUCAUUAUAACCACUCAAGCUCUCGCUUGGUAUUGGGGUUCGCGGUUUCGCGGCCCCUAAAAUCAGUGGCGGUGCCUGUCGGCUCUACGCGUAGUAAUACUUCUCGCGAUUGAGUUCGAUAGGUCUACUUGCCAGUAACCCCCAAUUUUUACAGGUUGACCUCGGAUCAGGUAGGGAUACCCGCUGAACUUAAGCAUAUCAAUAAGCGGGGA